Molecule: ribosomal RNA, 460 nt
Filed under: uncultured bacterium
Lineage: Bacteria
Description: partial 16S ribosomal RNA
Rfam family: Bacterial small subunit ribosomal RNA
Source: RNAcentral
CCUACGGGAGACAGCAGUGAGGAAUAUUGGUCAAUGGACGAGAGUCUGAACCAGCCAAGUAGCGUGAAGGAUGACUGCCCUAUGGGUUGUAAACUUCUUUUAUAUGGGAAUAAAACGUUCCACGUGUGGGAUUUUGUAUGUACCAUAUGAAUAAGGAUCGGCUAACUCCGUGCCAGCAGCCGCGGUAAUACGGAGGAUCCGAGCGUUAUCCGGAUUUAUUGGGUUUAAAGGGAGCGUAGGUGGAUUGUUAAGUCAGUUGUGAAAGUUUGCGGCUCAACCGUAACAUUGCAGUUGAAACUGGCAGUCUUGAGUACAGUAGAGGUGGGCGGAAUUCGUGGUGUAGCGGUGAAAUGCUUAGAUAUCACGAAGAACUCCGAUUGCGAAGGCAGUUCACUGGACUGCAACUGACACUGAGGCUCGAAAGUGUGGGUAUCAAACAGGAUUAGAUACCCCAGUAGUC